AAGGUAAAAAUUAUGGGUCUGAAGAGAAAGAGCCGAGGUGUUUUUCGAUUUGAGAAAGAUCAGAGAGUGAGAGGGGAAUGGCUACCCGGGUAAUACCCUCCCCCCUGCGACUUUCAAGCAAAGGGAACUGGCCAGCCACCUGAAUUCGGUUGCUGGAGGUCACGGGGGCCAGAGAUUCGGCAGAGAGCGCACAGGAGCAGGCGGGCAGUUAGAGGUCU
Long non-coding RNA from Myotis brandtii (Brandt's bat), 218 nucleotides. RefSeq lists it as uncharacterized. The transcript is spliced from 3 exons. The record is from RefSeq and is a predicted model, not a curated record. Lineage: Eukaryota; Metazoa; Chordata; Mammalia; Chiroptera; Vespertilionidae.